AGUCCUCAAGGCACGCCUACCAGUCCAGGAUUUAGGGAUUACCGAGUUGAGUGAAGGUGUUUUUUUUUGUUUUUUUUUCUAAAAAAACCUUAGACACAACUGGGUAAUCCCAAAGUUCUGGACUGGUAGGCGUGCCUUGAGGAACU
This is a non-coding RNA of Pelobates cultripes (western spadefoot toad), 146 nucleotides long. The record is from the annotation of a GenBank genome assembly. Lineage: Eukaryota; Metazoa; Chordata; Amphibia; Anura; Pelobatidae.